GUGGCGCACGGGUGAGUAAUGCAUGGGAAUUUGCCAAGUGGAGAGGGAUACCUACGGGAAGCUGUAGUUAAUACUUCGUAAGCAGAGUUCGCAAGAAUUCUGGAAACGUGGGGAUCGCAAGACCUACGGCCAUUUGAUAAGCUCAUGUCCCAUUAGCUAGUUGGCGGGGUAACAGCCCACCAAGGCGAUGAUGGGUAGCUGGUCUGAGAGGACGAUCAGCCACACUGGAACUGAGACACGGUCCAGACUCC
Molecule: ribosomal RNA, 251 nt
Filed under: uncultured bacterium
Lineage: Bacteria
Description: partial 16S ribosomal RNA
Rfam family: Bacterial small subunit ribosomal RNA
Source: RNAcentral